GUUGUUACCAUUGUUGUUUUUCUUUUUCCUGCUUGUCUUCCUGUUCACUACAAUUAAUAAGGAAUUUUUUACUUUGUGACUUCUGGUUCUGGCUAUCUGCUCUUGUAUCACAGACAACUAAUAUGAAUUUUUUUUCAGUUGCAGUGCAAUAAAUUAUUAUUGUAAAUGUUCUCCCCACACCUCUUUUGCUCCAAGAGGCCAAUGGAUAGCUGGAAAUGGUUCAGAACUGUAUAAGCCUGUUGCCACUAAAUUGGAGGUGGACAUUUGCCCACAAUAUCAAACCAUUUUUAUGGUGAUGCUUUAUGAAUACACCUACUUUGUUUUGGAAGUUAUGUAUAAAUGUAUAUCUAUAUGUCUAUGUAUCUAUUAUCUAU
Molecule: long non-coding RNA, 374 nt
Organism: Pan paniscus (pygmy chimpanzee)
Lineage: Eukaryota; Metazoa; Chordata; Mammalia; Primates; Hominidae
Source: Ensembl